Molecule: ribosomal RNA, 278 nt
Filed under: uncultured bacterium
Lineage: Bacteria
Description: partial 16S ribosomal RNA
Rfam family: Bacterial small subunit ribosomal RNA
Source: RNAcentral
CCUACGGGACGCAGCAGUGAGGAAUAUUGGUCAAUGGACGAGAGUCUGAACCAGCCAAGUAGCGUGCAGGAUGACUGCCCUAUGGGUUGUAAACUUCUUUUACAAAGGAAUAAAAAGAGACACGUGUGUUUUUUUGCAUGUACUCUGUGAAUAAGGAUCGGCUAAUUCCGUGCCAGCAGCCGCGGUAAUACGGAAGAUCCGGGUGUUAUCCGGAUUUAUUGGGUUUAAAGGGAGCGUAGAUGGGUUGUUAAGCGAGUUGUGAAAGUUUGCGGCUCAAC